UGGUUUGGGACUCAAGAUGUGGUCAAAUGUUGUUAAGGUAUGUUCAGCAGUAAAACUUGACCACAUUUUGAGUACCAAACCA
This 82-nucleotide microRNA precursor is filed under the name Callithrix jacchus (white-tufted-ear marmoset). Its description in RNAcentral is "mir-1265 microRNA precursor family". It matches the Rfam family "mir-1265 microRNA precursor family". The record is from Rfam by way of RNAcentral. Lineage: Eukaryota; Metazoa; Chordata; Mammalia; Primates; Cebidae.